RNAcentral lists this ribosomal RNA (343 nucleotides) under Parascatonomus penicillatus. Its description in RNAcentral is "partial 12S ribosomal RNA". Lineage: Eukaryota; Metazoa; Arthropoda; Insecta; Coleoptera; Scarabaeidae. The record is from RNAcentral.
AAGGAAUGUAAAUUAAAAAUAUUAGGGGAGUAGUAGUUAUGUGCUUGAAAUUUAAAGAAUUUGGCGGUAUUCUAAUCUUUUCAGAGGAACCUGUCCUAUAAUUGAUGAUCCACGAUUAAUUUUACUUAAUUUACUAGUUUAUAUAUCGUCGUAGGUUGAAUAUCUUAUAAGAGAUAAAAUAUUCAUAAUUUAUAAUAAAUAAAUAAAGGAAAUCAGAUCAAGGUGUAGCUUAUAAUUAAGUAGAGAUGGGUUACAAUAAAUUUAUUUAUAUGGAUUUAAUAAUUAAAAUUAUUAAUGAAAGUGGAUUUGAAAGUAAUAUAUUUUAGUUAAAAUAUAUGAUUUA